Salvia splendens (bonfire salvia) is the source of this 2469-nucleotide long non-coding RNA. RefSeq lists it as uncharacterized. The record is from RefSeq and is a predicted model, not a curated record. The transcript has 3 exons. Lineage: Eukaryota; Viridiplantae; Streptophyta; Magnoliopsida; Lamiales; Lamiaceae.
AUUAAACUUCACCAAUAUAAGCGGCGUUCCUAAUAUUUUCCCCCUUUUGCUUUCUCAAAGAUUCUGCUUCAGACGAUUUCUUUGGCAACCUAUCUGUGUGAUAAAAUUUGGUGGUUUGAAGAGAGAGAUUGUGAUAGCAAGAUGAAAAAAGUUGGUAAGUUGAAGAAGCCCCCAAAAGUAGAAGACGUUGCAGAACAGGAAAAGAAGGUCUCUAACCAGAAAGGGAAAAGGAAGGGAAGUGAGAUUGAUGAAAUUUUUGCUGCAAAUAAACGCAAGAGAGUGGAAUCGGAGAAGAAGGCUGAGGCCGAAACCAAAGCCAAAGCCAAAUCCAAAGUAGCUGCUGCCAAUUUUAAAAAGAAGGAAAAGAGUAUGAAGAGCCACUCCUUCGAAUUUUCAGCCGGCACUUCUGGACCGAGGAAGAGGACUGCCGAUGGGCUGGCUGUGUUUUCAGAGGAAGAGCUGGGCAUAGGGAAGCCAGAUGCAGGAGGAACUGCUUUGUGCCCUUUUGAUUGUGGCUGUUGUUUUUGAUGGAUGCUGAUCAAAAUUUGUUAGCUGCUUAAGUAUUUGCUGCUCAUGUAACUUUGAAUGCUAGAAGAUAGAUUGUUGUUAUACAUGAUUUCCAAAUUGAGUCAUCAUUUAUGUGUUUUAGUCUGGGAAAGUGGUGGACUAUGUUUUUUCUGCAAUGUUGAUGAUGCAUUAGCGUUGAUAGCCUUACCGAAACUGAAGGUGCUCGUUUGUAUGGAAUAACCGGCAGCCGUCUGCAGUCUAACUCUAAUUCAAUUGAUCUUUCUUGUUUAUGCAGCGACCAGUUCAUCGUUAACAUGAAUGCAGGUAUGCCUCGGUUGCAGAAGUUUAUAUUACAUGUAUUGGAUAACACUCAUCUUUUUGAAUUUGAGUGUUAAUGAUGCUUAUUGGAACACCUAGAGAAUCCCUGUCGAAGGGGGUUGAUUUGCUUGAAAGUAUCUGGUUACACAUGUCCAGUAAAUUUGUACUAUGAAUUACUUGUUUUUUUUUAAUGACUUUAUAAAAUAGAGUAAUAGCUUUACCAUAUUUCCUUUUGUUUUUAUCAAAGAUUAGUGCUAUGCUAUCAAGCAUGUCAUCUGUUGCCCCGUAGUUAUUCCUGAAACAAUUGAUUAUUUGAUGUUCCAAGAAGAUAAUAAUAACAGUACCGUAAGCAUGUUAAUUUUAUUGGGGAAAAACAUAGACGAAGAGUUGAGCAAUUUGCUACAAUGUUGUACCUUGGCAGUAUUGAGGAUUCAAAGAGGCUCUAUAUGUACACUAAUGGAGAUGUGAGUUCUUCAUUUACAACUUGGAACAUACAUUUUUGCAUUUAUUUAUUUUUUUAUGUUGUAAUUUAAUAAGGAGUAGUAUUUUUUUUCCGCCUUUUAUAUUGAAAAUCUUGUGAUAACUAUACAUCUCUGUUGCAGCUCACUCCUAGCAUGGCUAUCUAUCUAUGAUAUGAUGCAGUGUUUGAAAAGUCACUCACUGUGUGGAAUAUGCUGGUUUUCUACUUGCCUUGCCGCUGGUGAGAAGUGAUCUCCUUUACAAUUUCGGGUAAUCGUUUUGCCAUGCCGCUGCCAAGAGUUUCAUUACAAUGGAGCUGCCGGUGGUCAGGUUCAGUGUUUUGAUAUUUAAUUAAUAAAUUUUGUAAUUGGUUAAUUUUGGGGGAAAGGUAAAAAGUUGGCAGAAAUCUUAAAUUAAUAGUAGUAGUAGUAUUGAAAAGACGAAAAGUAAAAAGUUGAAAAGAUGGUAAGCCAAAAAACAGUGGUGGUAUGCCUUGAUUUUUUUAAAUGUUGGCUCAUAUUAAAAUACUAAUUAAAAUACUAAUAGAAAGGAUUUACGCACGCCCCAACAACGACCCUUCGCUGCUCCAACCGCCCUGGCGCGCCCCGCUCGGCUCACCCAUGUCGGGGCGAAGCCGGCCUCGACCCUGGUGAGCCCCGGGCGCGUUUUUGACAACACUGGUCAGGUUUGAUAAAUUAAUUUUUCUUGUAUCUCAAGCCUCAUUUUGUUCUUGCCACCAACUUAUAGCAUGUAUUUGAGAACACCUAUUUUCAGACAGAUGAUAUUUGUAAUGAGCUGCAAGAAUAAGAGGCUAUCUUUUCAAGGAGUUGGCUCAGAUUUUGGUCUUGUGCAAGAUUUAAAAGUCAGUGUGCAAAAGAUCAUGGUUUUGAAUAUGGUCUCAUUGAUCGGAUAGUUAGGCCACCCAGUGUUGUCAAAAACGCGCCCGGGGAGCACUCGGGCCGUGGGGCGCAGUCGGCGCGCCCAGGGCGGUGGGAGCAACUAAGGGGGUGCUGUUGGGGCGUGCGUGAAUCCGUUUUUAUGAAGAGGGUAAGCUUAAACUUAUUCCUUUCUAUUAGUAUUUUAGAGCAUCUCCAAUGGCGGACGUCCGGUCGGACAUCCGGUCGGACGUCGCGACGGGCGACCGGAACGUCCGCCAUUGUGGCGUUUAGGGUCGGAUACGGACGU